UUCCAGUGAGGAAACAGUCACAUGUCUUACCUCCUGUCCUAGUCCCAGAGCCUGUAAAGGUGAACCCACUGGGGCUGGCUGGGGGGAAGGAGGAAACUUGCUCCAGAAGGAACUGUCUGAGGGAU
Vulpes vulpes (red fox) is the source of this 125-nucleotide small nucleolar RNA. Its record names the gene SNORD22. It matches the Rfam family "Small nucleolar RNA SNORD22". Rfam says of the family: U22 is a member of the C/D class of snoRNA which contain the C (UGAUGA) and D (CUGA) box motifs. U22 is encoded within the U22 snoRNA host gene (UHG) in mammals and has also been identified in Xenopus. The record is from Ensembl. NCBI's taxonomy places the organism in Eukaryota, Metazoa, Chordata, Mammalia, Carnivora, Canidae.